AGCGUAGGCGGCGCGGUAAGUCAGAUGUGAAAUCCCGGGGCUCAACCCCGGAACUGCAUCCGAUACUGCCGUGCUAGAGUUUUGGAGGGGUAGUCGGAAUUCACGGUGUAGCAGUGAAAUGCGUGGAUAUCGUGAGGAACACUCGUGGCGAAAGCGGACUACUGGACAACAACUGACGCUGAGGCUCGAAGGCCAGGGGAGCGAAAG
RNAcentral lists this ribosomal RNA (207 nucleotides) under uncultured bacterium. RNAcentral describes it as "partial 16S ribosomal RNA". It matches the Rfam family "Bacterial small subunit ribosomal RNA", at positions 568 to 774 of the family's 1533-position model. The record is from RNAcentral.